RNAcentral lists this ribosomal RNA (494 nucleotides) under uncultured bacterium. RNAcentral describes it as "partial 16S ribosomal RNA". It matches the Rfam family "Bacterial small subunit ribosomal RNA", at positions 28 to 507 of the family's 1533-position model. The record is from RNAcentral.
GACGAACGCUGGCGGCGUGCUUAACACAUGCAAGUCGAACGGAAAGGCCUGCUUUCCCUUGUGGAUUGCGGGUACUCGAGUGUCGAACGGGUGAGUAACACGUGAGUGAUCUGCCCCCAACUUGGGUAUAAGCCUGGGAAACUGGGUCUAAUUCCCGUUAGGACUGCAGGGUGGUUCCUGUGGUUGAUAACGAUUUUCUAGUGGUUGGGGAUGAGCUCUCGGCCUAUCAGCUUGUUGGUGUGGUAAUGGCCUACCAAGGCGUCGACGGGUAGCCGGCCUGAGAGGGGGGACGGCGAGAUUGGGACUGAGAUACGGCGCAGACACCGACGGGAGGCAGAAGUGGGGAAGAUGGCAAAAGGGGCGGAAGACUGAUGCAGCGACGAGGAGUGGGGGAUGAAGGCCUUCGGGUUGUAAACUCCUUUCGACCGAGAGGAAGACACCUGGAUGGAAGGGUGGUGACGGUAGUGGUAGAAGAAGCACCGGCUAACUACGUG